UAAAAGACUAAUUAAUACUACAGAAAAAGUCUGGUAAACCCCCCAAAGCCAACUCUUGUUUUUCCUCUGCAUUUCUUUCCCUUUUAUUUGAAGAAUGAAAUUUAGAGUAGCCAAAAUUGACAAUUACAUCUCCACCCCACCAAUACCAUGCAAUUGAAACCUCUCAACACCUUCACCGUUACGCUCAUGUUGUUCUUCACUUUCUUGAUCCUCUUCUUUUCUGGUUUCCUUGAAUUCCCUUCUGUUUCCUCCUCUAUCCAACAACCCUUUACCACUCCAUCUCUCACCCUUUCUUCCAACCCUAACCCUUUUACUGAUCUGCUCUCUGCUUUCAAGACAUGGGAUUCUCAAAUGGGUUGUUCCCAGUUCAAGCUAAAACACCACGAUUUGAUCCGUUUGCUUUCUAACAGCUCUGGGUCUUUGCAGGAACCUGUUUCUCAUUCUUCCUGCAAUCUGUUGAAAAUGGAGCAUGUUAGUGUUUUGGUAAAAGGAUGGACUUGGAUUCCUGAUAAUUUAGAUAAUCUGUAUUCUUGUCAAUGUGGGAUGAGUUGCUUAUGGACUAAAUCUCCCGUUCUUGCUGAUAAACCGGAUGCCCUUUUGUUUGAGACCGCUACCCCUCCACUUCAGAGGCACAGUGGAGAUCCACUUCGUGUGUACAUGGACCUUGAGGCUGGCAGAAGGCGUUCAGGUCGAGAGGAUCUAUUCAUCAGUUACCAUGCAAAAGAUGAUGUUCAGUCAACCUAUGCUGGUGCUCUCUUUCAUAAUGGUCGAAAUUAUCACAUAUCUUCAUAUAAGAACAAUGAGACACUUGUUUAUUGGUCUUCAUCACGCUGCCUUUCUCAAAGAAAUCAGCUUGCUAAGAGUUUCCUCAGGUUGCUGCCGCACCACUCCUUUGGCAAAUGUCUGAACAAUGUUGGUGGUUUAGACAUGGCCCUUUCCUUCUACCCUGAGUGUACCAAUGAUGCUAAUACCCCGAAGUGGUGGGACCAUUUACAUUGUGCCAUGUCUCAUUACAAAUUUGUCCUUGCAAUUGAAAAUACAGUUACGGAGAGCUACGUGACCGAGAAGCUAUUUUAUGCUUUGGACUCUGGUGCGGUUCCUAUUUAUUUUGGAGCUCCCAAUGUGCUGGACUUUGUCCCUCCUCAUUCAAUUAUAGAUGGAACUAAGUUUAGGUCCAUGGAGGAAUUGGCUUCUUACGUGAAAGCCCUUGCUAAUGAUCCUGUAGCUUAUGCUGAGUACCAUGCCUGGAGAAGAUGUGGUGUAUUAGGUAACUAUGCUAAGGCCCGUGCAACAAGCCUUGACACAUUACCAUGCCGAUUGUGUGAGGCAGUUAGUAAGAAAGGUGGGAGAAAUGCAAGAACGGAAUGAAUUGUUUAUUGUUUUAUGCUUCAGGUUGGUCUCCUGGUAUUUUGCAAACCAUAUAUAGUGAAUCAUCAAAUUUAUGUUUGAUCUAAUUGAAUUUUAUGCAAAAUGACCAAUGGGAUCUGUUGUAGGUUUGUACUUGGCUCUUUUGCAUUCAUAUUUACAAGAUGGAGAUAUGAGGCCAUUAUUCCACUGCAAGUUGAAGGCUUAGACUUUUGGAGCUUGGAUUUUUGCUUUUGUUUAGGCUUGUUGUUGCUGUUGUGGAUCUUCACACUUUUGAGUUCUUGAGGUCUGUUUUCAAGUUUCCUUUAGUUUAUGACUAGAAGAAACCUGUCGGGACCAUUAUUAUUUGACAGUGAGAUUGAAAGUACAGCUCGCAAAAAUCAUAGAGAAGUAAGGCAGAGUCGACAGUGUAUAGUAGAUGAGCAAGAGGAAGCUAUUAUUAUUACUGAGGAGAUGAGUGAUAAUCAGAAUAAUCAACUACCUCCUACAGUUGUUGCAAAUCCAGAUCCUAUUCCUCGUACUAAGUACGAUUAUGCCAAACCCACUCUAACUGGGGCUGAAUCGAGUAUUGUGAGACCCAUUAUUGCUGUAAAUAAUUUUAAACUGAAGCUGAACACUAUUCAAAUGGUACAACAAUUUGUUCAGUUCGAUGGUUUGUAAGACGAAGAUCCAAAUACUCAUUUGGCUAAUUUUCUAUAAGUAUGUGAUACUUUAAAGAUAAA
Gossypium arboreum is the source of this 2087-nucleotide RNA transcript. It is a transcript of the gene named alpha-(1,4)-fucosyltransferase, with no coding region annotated. NCBI's taxonomy places the organism in Eukaryota, Viridiplantae, Streptophyta, Magnoliopsida, Malvales, Malvaceae. The transcript has 5 exons. The record is from RefSeq and is a predicted model, not a curated record.